AUCCAGUUGACGAGUCCCAAAUAGGACGAAACACACUUCCUGGGU
Molecule: non-coding RNA, 45 nt
Filed under: Schistosoma margrebowiei
Lineage: Eukaryota; Metazoa; Platyhelminthes; Trematoda; Strigeidida; Schistosomatidae
Source: RNAcentral